Long non-coding RNA from Dermatophagoides pteronyssinus (European house dust mite), 294 nucleotides. RefSeq lists it as uncharacterized. The record is from RefSeq and is a predicted model, not a curated record. NCBI's taxonomy places the organism in Eukaryota, Metazoa, Arthropoda, Arachnida, Sarcoptiformes, Pyroglyphidae.
GUCAAAUAAGAUUAUAAUCGAUAUUUACUUUUUUUUCUGUUUUCGAAACAUCUGGAUCCAGAUUUUCAGCCGACAACAACAACGAAAAAAAAAGAAACUAACAGUAACAAGACAGAAAAAACACUCGAUUAAUUCAAUGUUGUUUUUUUCUGGUUCAAAGUUUUAGACAUUAAAUUAAAUUGUUAACACGUGACUAUCGUCAUUGAUCAUAUCCAUCACUAUAUAUCAAUUUCUGAUAAAUUCUAUAUCAUAAUUACACACACACACUCAGAUCCUGUUACAAAAAUCAAAAAA